GACCUUUCCAGGGGAGUUGCUGUCUUGAAAUCAGCUUGGGGGUGUUCGAGUCAUCCGUGGGUUUA
RNAcentral lists this transfer RNA (65 nucleotides) under Bactronophorus thoracites. Its description in RNAcentral is "tRNA-Ser". Lineage: Eukaryota; Metazoa; Mollusca; Bivalvia; Myida; Teredinidae. The record is from RNAcentral.